This 73-nucleotide transfer RNA is filed under the name Ovis aries (sheep). It matches the Rfam family "tRNA". From Rfam's summary of the family: Transfer RNA (tRNA) molecules are approximately 80 nucleotides in length. Their secondary structure includes four short double-helical elements and three loops (D, anti-codon, and T loops). Further hydrogen bonds mediate the characteristic L-shaped molecular structure. tRNAs have two regions of fundamental functional importance: the anti-codon, which is responsible for specific mRNA codon recognition, and the 3' end, to which the tRNAs corresponding amino acid is attached (by aminoacyl-tRNA synthetases). tRNAs cope with the degeneracy of the genetic code in two manners: having more than one tRNA (with a specific anti-codon) for a particular amino acid; and 'wobble' base-pairing, i.e. permitting non-standard base-pairing at the 3rd anti-codon position. The record is from Rfam by way of RNAcentral. Lineage: Eukaryota; Metazoa; Chordata; Mammalia; Artiodactyla; Bovidae.
UCCCUGGUGGUCCAGUGGCUAAGAUUCUGUGCUCCCAAUGCAGAGGGCACAGGUUCGAUCCCUGGUUGGGGAA